Non-coding RNA from Peromyscus maniculatus bairdii (prairie deer mouse), 947 nucleotides. The record is from RefSeq and is a predicted model, not a curated record. NCBI's taxonomy places the organism in Eukaryota, Metazoa, Chordata, Mammalia, Rodentia, Cricetidae.
UGUGUAAUUAAAGCAAGCCAUAUUUUUUUUCAAGCAUGUAGACCAUGGCCCCAGAUCCCCUGACUGUAACCCUGUGUGACGAUGGGCCAAGAAAAAGAUUCUGACUAAAGGGCUCCCCAGCCUGAGAUUCAGAUUUCAAAGUACAUAAUUGUUUUUGCCAACGAGUAUUCUUUUUCUUUCCUAAACUUGAUCAAUAUUUAUACUGUGGCUUUGCAAUAGGAGAUACUUGCCAUAACACCAGGUUUGUUUUAGCAUAAAAUCUGCUAUGUUCAGCUGUCAUCGAGGAACACCAGGUUUCAGUCAAAGAACAGGGGAGAAAAACAAAUGGAGAUCUGGAAGCUAUGUGAAGGUCCAAGUUGUGUAACUGCCAUUCAAAUUGAUGAGGUUCACCUUGGACCAAGUCUGAUUGUACUACUCAAGCAGGGCUGGAGACUGUAUUUUAAUCACAAUAGAAACCCUAACUGAGGCAGUCUCUGAGGCAGCAGCUCAACAUGGAUGAGGAGGUGGGAUGCUCUGGAAGGAAACAUCCAUCACACAGUGUUAAGGUGCUACAUCAACUGAGAAGGCAGAGAGUAAUCAGUGUGACGAUCAGCUUGCCUGUACUCCAGGGUGAAUGUCUUCCUCCUUCAGAAGGCCUAUCAGCUGCCGGGUACAAUGAUGAAUAAGACAUGGAAGAUAUUCUUGUAGGGGACAAGAAGACAGCAACCGGGGGAGGUGUAAACAAGGAAACUGGAAUUUUGUCACUUUACAUCCUCUGACCAUCCUGCCCUGGCACCAUCUGGGAAUAGAGAGCCUGUGCUGCUGGAGUCCCUUUACCUGAAGCCUCUCAUCACCUUCCCCUGUUGCAGGGGUGUGGUAAGGAGGAGAGGUGGGCUGAGGAAAUGCCAUGCAUUUGAUUUCUUGAUUUCUUCUUCAAUUGCAGUAAAGGGCUAAGACCUAAAACAGGA